Molecule: ribosomal RNA, 495 nt
Filed under: uncultured bacterium
Lineage: Bacteria
Description: partial 16S ribosomal RNA
Rfam family: Bacterial small subunit ribosomal RNA
Source: RNAcentral
ACUCAAAGGAAUAGACGGGGGCCCGCACAAGCGGUGGUGCAUGUGGUUUAAUUCGACGCAACGCGCAGAACCUUACCUAGACUUGACUUCUACAGAAGGCGGCCCAAAAGCUGCUGUGCUCGCAAGAGAACUGUAAGACAGGUGCUGCAUGGCUGUCGUCAGCUCGUGUCGUGAGAUGUUGGGUUAAGUCCCGCAACGAGCGCAACCCUCGCCCUUAGUUGCUCAGCAAUGAGAUCUCUAGGGGGACCGCCAGCGAUAAGCUGGAGGAAGGUGGGGAUGACGUCAAGUCCUCAUGGCCUUUAUGUCUAGGGCUACACACGUGCAACAAUGGCUGGUACAAAGCGUCGCCAACUCGCAAGAGGGAGCUAAUCGCAUAAAACCAGUCUCAGUUCAGAUUGGAGUCUGCAACUCGACUCCAUGAAGGCGGAAUCGCUAGUAAUCGCAGAUCAGCACGCUGCGGUGAAUACGUUCCCGGGCCUUGUACACACCGCCCGU